AGAAGGAUUACUUAGCAAAGAAAAGCACAUUAUCUGAGAGGCAAUCCAAAAUCAACUUGAUGAAAUGACAUGAAUGUAGCCUGGAAGUUUACUGCAUCUGCCACAACUCAAUUUCCAGCAGAUUUAUUAUGCAAGGGCUGUGAAUACUGUGGGAAAUGCUGCCAUGGAGAUUGCAUAGAUAUUCGUGAGAAGGAUUCCUGCUUAUUUGGAAAGAGAAAAAGUUCUUUUCACAAAAUCUAAAUCUUCAGGCAUUUGCUGUUCAAAUAAAGAUAACUGGAACAGGUCGGGAAGGAAGAAAAGAAAAAAUGACAGAAAUAAAAUAGGAAUCUACCUCAAAAUACCCCCACAGUGGUGAAUGGAUUGCUUGUUAAUGUGUAAAUAAUUCCAAUAAGUAUGACUCUAGUCGAGGAAAACAACGUCACCAGUACCAGUAUCGAGUUUGUCCCACUUUUGCCCCGGAGAAAAAGAUUGAAACAGUAGUGAAAAAAGAGGAUAUAGUUCUAAAACCGAUCUUCAGUGAAGCAAACUAUACCGAUGAUGAUGGGAGCUGGGCCUGCGAAAAGAAAAUCCUCUGUUCCAGUUAGUAAGCCAUCUCAACAUUCAACUAACACAAAGGAAAAGGAAAAAUGAAGACAUCAUUCCUCUACUACUCUUUGGGAGCACCGUCGCCGAAAGAGAAUAACCUCGUCUACAGAUUAGAGAGGUGAAAGUGAGAUAAAAAAAUCUCCAGACGGAACAAGCAAAAGGUAUUUCGGCAGAUAAUCACGCACGCAAAGAAAAAUAGUCAAAUUUAAUUUGAUUACCUCGACACAUUUUACCUCGAGACGAUUUUAGGUCAUCCAAUUACGGACCAUAAGAGACUUUGCGUCCAGAAACUAAAUACUGCAGUGACCAGUGCGGGCUGAAAUUGGCGACAACAAUACCAGGUAAAGGUAUUGUCUAGGUUUUGCGCUAACGGGUUCAAAAAUGUGGCUUAAUACCAGAUGAAGAAAAGAAGAAAAAAAGAAUUAGAAGGAAUUAGAACUAAUUUGUUAGUAGCAAAACGAAGCACGGGUAACUCUGAAAGAGCUGAAUGUUAAACAAAAGGUUGUUUUCGUCUAGGAGUUCAAUCAUUUUUAGGUUUUUUUUUUUUUUUCUGACGUGAUUA
Daphnia magna is the source of this 1147-nucleotide long non-coding RNA. RefSeq lists it as uncharacterized. NCBI's taxonomy places the organism in Eukaryota, Metazoa, Arthropoda, Branchiopoda, Diplostraca, Daphniidae. The record is from RefSeq and is a predicted model, not a curated record. The transcript has 6 exons.